AGGGACCUGGUCUCAGAUAGUCUAUCUGGUGUACGUCUUGGCUUCCUGGAGAGCAGAAAUCUGCACAGCACCCAUACCCACAGCAAGAACAGCUACCUCAACCUGUGCAAAAUUAAAACUCGGACUUCAUACUGACAAGCAUCAAUUAAAUUUUGGUUUCCGACAUAAUGACAGAACCAAUUGACAUGCCAACAUGGAUGGGGGAAGAAUUCAUGAGUCUGAGAAGGAACAGGGGCACUGGAAGAGUUGUAAUGGAAAAGGAGUCCAGCUCCAAGCUCUUUCACCCUCUUGUGGAGUUCCUCCACGAGACUCUCCUGUCUCAGCCACCUGUUUGUCUCUCACUCUGUAGAUGUGUGUCUUUUCCUCUGACCAGGUUCUUUGAGCUGGGUGUGUGCUAGGUUUAUUUUGCUUUAGUGGUUCCCACAUGCCAUUCUCUCAGACAUGCACUGGGAUGCCACAUGUAUGAAUUCAGUCCAUUCUCUUCCAGCUCUCAGGAACCUCUCUCUCCAAAUACCAUUAUCUAUUUCCCUCAACUCUACAACUUGGAACUUGAUUAUGUACGGUUUUAUUUUACUAUGUAUAUUCUUAUACUUUUAAUUAAAAGAAAUAAUUAGAAAAAU
This is a long non-coding RNA of Peromyscus maniculatus bairdii (prairie deer mouse), 620 nucleotides long. RefSeq lists it as uncharacterized. The record is from RefSeq and is a predicted model, not a curated record. NCBI's taxonomy places the organism in Eukaryota, Metazoa, Chordata, Mammalia, Rodentia, Cricetidae.